RNAcentral lists this ribosomal RNA (229 nucleotides) under Saxifraga macrostigmatoides. RNAcentral's name for it is "5.8S ribosomal RNA". The stretch from base 1 to 151 matches the Rfam family "5.8S ribosomal RNA". Rfam says of the family: 5.8S ribosomal RNA (5.8S rRNA) is a component of the large subunit of the eukaryotic ribosome. Lineage: Eukaryota; Viridiplantae; Streptophyta; Magnoliopsida; Saxifragales; Saxifragaceae. RNAcentral also lists the same sequence under 1 other name. The record is from RNAcentral.
UCGGCAACGGAUAUCUCGGCUCUUACAUCGAUGAAGAACGUAGCAAAAUGCGAUACUUGGUGUGAAUUGCAGAAUCCCGUGAACCAUCGAGUCUUUGAACGCAAGUUGCGCCCGAAUCCCUUGGGUUAAGGGCACGUCUGCCUGGGUGUCACGUACACACGUCUCCCACAAUCCUUUGCCCUUUGCGGACGAAGGGUCUUGUGCGAGCAGAGAUUGGUAUCCCGUGCCC